UUUCAACUUCUCCAUCAAGAUAUUCCCUCCUGUAUACCUUCCUUUUAGUGUCUUGACACAUGGUUUGCUUUCUUAGGAAGAAUUUUAGAUACACUAAAAAUUUUUUUCAAGACCUAUUUAUUUAUGCUAGCAGUGAAAUAUGGUAUUAAACUUACACAACUUUGCUUUAUUUUAAUGCAGCUACUGAUUGCAUAAAAAAUUAUAGACAUGUAGAAUUCUAGUGCUGGGAGGGUACUUAAUUUUACAGACAUAUUAAUUUAUAUUCAUUGAUCCAUUGUGACAGAGUGAGACUCUGUCUCCAAAAAAAAAAAAAAAAAUCAAAUCAAAACAAAACAAAACAAAAAGCCAUUCUUGCCUGGGGAACAGUCAGCCUUUGUGGGACUAACAAAUUAGUCAUUGUUCUAGGUCGUAGGGAUGAAACUGAACACCACAAAUGAGAUCCCGCUCCCUGUAUAGUUUACUUUUAAAUGAAUAAUAUAGCAAUCCAAGACAAUCCUCACUUUCGGCCAAUAGUUAGUUGUCAAAUGAGGAGAGGUAGCAUGGCUAAGACCCAGUAGACGUAGACCGAGGGUCUGUUAAACACUACCUAGCAGUGACAUGCUUAUUUGAUAAAUCACUUCGCUGUUCUAGAUCUCUGUAUUCUUGUCAGUAAAACGAUCCCUUCUAGAACCUACAACUCUCAGGCUUAGACUUCAAGCUAGACCUUGAAGGAAAAAUACAGUUUAGAUGAUUAGGGAGGAGAGCAUUCCAUUUAGACAGAAACAGGGUGAGCAAAGCUUAAAGGCAGGUAAAUGUUGGGUGUUUUUAGGGGCCCCUAUUAGUUGAAAUGAAAACCUUGCAUAGGAGGCAAAGCAGCAAAUACAAAAGGCAGUUUCUGCAAGUGUUAGAUGUUACACAGCUGAAGUCAUACUUUAUCCUGUGUCUAA
RNAcentral lists this long non-coding RNA (926 nucleotides) under Pan troglodytes (chimpanzee). RNAcentral's name for it is "long non-coding RNA NONPTRT010078". Lineage: Eukaryota; Metazoa; Chordata; Mammalia; Primates; Hominidae. The record is from RNAcentral.